CCUACGUGAGGCAGCAGUGAGGAAUAUUGGUCAAUGGGCUUACGCCUGAACCAGCCAAGUCGCGUGAGGGAAGACUGCCCUAUGGGUUGUAAACCUCUUUUGUCAGGGAGCAACGCCGGCUACGUGUAGCCGGACUGAGAGUACCUGAAGAAAAAGCAUCGGCUAACUCCGUGCCAGCAGCCGCGGUAAUACGGAGGAUGCGAGCGUUAUCCGGAUUUAUUGGGUUUAAAGGGUGCGUAGGCGGAAUGCCAAGUACGCGGUAAAAUCGCGGGGCUCAACCUCGCUCCGCCGUUGAAACUGGCGUUCUUGAGUGGGCGAGAGGUAUGCGGAAUGCGUGGUGUAGCGGUGAAAUGCAUAGAUAUCACGCAGAACUCCGAUUGCGAAGGCAGCAUACCGGCGCCCAACUGACGCUGAAGCACGAAAGCGUGGGUAUCGAACAGGAUUAGAUACCCUUGUAGUC
This 460-nucleotide ribosomal RNA is filed under the name uncultured bacterium. RNAcentral's name for it is "partial 16S ribosomal RNA". It matches the Rfam family "Bacterial small subunit ribosomal RNA", at positions 338 to 795 of the family's 1533-position model. The record is from RNAcentral.